This 4788-nucleotide long non-coding RNA is filed under the name Cairina moschata (Muscovy duck). Its description in RNAcentral is "domestica (muscovy Duck (domestic type)) lncRNA (ENSCMMG00000017331.1)". Lineage: Eukaryota; Metazoa; Chordata; Aves; Anseriformes; Anatidae. The record is from RNAcentral.
GGGAAGAGAUGGAAGAGGCAGGAUGCUGUGGUCCCGGUGCCAGCAGCAGAGGCGUGCUCCUGGAGGACACCAGCUCACAGCCACCUGCAGGAGGAGCAUCUUGAUACAGACAGCACGGAGCAGAGCUUGCUUCCAAAAUCCCUCCCCGCAGAGCCCCGGUCUGCUGGCAGGAGCUCCAGGAGAGCACCAAGCUCACAGCAGGCAGGUCCCAGUGGGACAGGGACAUGUCCUUGCUGCAUCUCCAACCUCCCCAUGCCUGCACCAAGUGGAGGACAAGUGGCAAAGCUCACACCUCGCCUUGCACCUUGGCACCUCCACCUUUGUGCGCAGGGGCAGGACAGGCAGAACGGGGGGCGAGCUCGUUGUGCACCCUCCAUACCCAUCGGUAACACAGGCCUGGAGGCUCCAGCUUCAGAUCCAUGCAGAAAAAGGGCAAAUGUGGGCAACGUGUCUGUGGGGUUCACCUUUUGUGCAUGGCAAGCUGCCCCGGCACGGCUCGGGGGGAGGCUGUUCUGGAGGCAUCUCCAGAGGCAUCCAUCCCCUGCAGCCAGCAGCUGCGGUGGCAGAAGCUCAUCACCAGCCACCCGACCGUGUGCUCGUGUCCCCUCCUGCCCCCCAGGCUCAGGUAUGGCCCCGUUGGCUCCCAUUCACCCCCCCGAGCUUUGUCAGGGCCACCCCAGCCAAGCCCCCCGAGGAGGACAGAGGACGGACGGUGAUGCUCCCGGGCACGUGGCGGCUCUGUGGGGACCACGGCACCCAAACCCCGGUGAGGACGCUGCGGUUCUUGGUCUCCCCCCAGUGACCAGACCACAAAUAACAAAGCAGCAGGUCUUACCCGUGCGCUGGAGUUUUCCAGCCCGAGGAGCAGAGCUCCCAGAACAGGCGUAUUGUUACCAGGUAAUUAUACUAAUAAUUAUUUCCCCGAAUCCUCCCAGAGAGAGAAGCCCUCUCGCCGGCACGCCGGCUUGCUUUUGCAUUUUAGGAAACAAGAAGCGAUUUCCCCACAUGCACGAGCCCUCUAAAUGUAUAUUUUCGUUGGUCAGGGAGCACCGACACCACGGAGGCAAAUGGCCUGUCAACAGAUUUACGGCAGGAAUUAGGAGCCGAGCAAUCCAUCUUGCCUGCCCUAAUGCACGCCAAACAACUCUGCACCGCGUGGGCUCCGCCGGGGCAGACGGUGCGAGCACAGCUCUCCAUGGCCCGAACCCAGCUGCGAUGACGCCGGCCCGAGCUGGAUGCCCACCAUCCUGGAGGAUUAGGAUUCGGGAUCUGAGGAUGGGCUUGAAGCCGUCUGCAGCUGUAACCGGGACUGGGUUUGGCCAGGGGCUCACGGUGGCACGCAACCGGCGGCUCAGAGGAGCUCACCCGUGGGGACCCCACGCAUGCGUGAGGAGCGCACAUGCACGGAGGAGCCGCGCCGCCCCGUUUAACCCGGGCUUCUUCUUUCUCCUCAUUGAAUUGCAAAAGCAGUGCGGUGCUGGAGCGGCGUGUUCUCAUCCAUUAUAGAAAGAACACGCUGCUCCGGGGCCACACAAGCACAUGGGAGAGGCAGCCCCUUGCUCCCUCUCGCCCCAGAGGAGAGGAAGGCGGGAUGCUCAGAAAGCACCGUGCCACCUCUCUUGUCACCUCCUGCUGGGGGCAAGUGGCUGAGACAGGCUGAAGGUGCCUGGAGGCCCCCUACUUGCAUCAGGCAGGUGCCCAGAAGGAGAAAUGGGGCCCCUGCGCCCCUUCCCCACCCUGGCCUCAAUUGGGACCGGUGAGGGACGCAAGCGUGGUCCCAUCAAGAGCUUUUUCAAGGGGUUUCUGCUCUGGGCAGCAUUAAGGGUACUCUUUAAGGGUUCCUUAAGGGCCGUUGCCAAAAUUCCCCAUCCCCUGAUGAAGCACAGGACAUUACAGCUUUCCAAAGAGGUUCAGGAAGGCUGCUUGGGUACAGGCAAAGCAAAUGUCAUCCCUCCAGCCUUUCUUGGAAAUAGCUGACCCAAUGUGGCUGAAAUUUUCCAGAGUUCAGGCUGAGGCAAACCUCUGGCAGAUGAUUUCUGCCUAAACGGUUGUGCCUUGGGCACUGUUCUAAGCAAUGGGAAACACAGCCUUAUAAUGGGAGGUAUUGGGUAACCUCAGCAACAAGCAGCAUUAUCUGCCCUGCCUACAAUAAAAUAAUUAAUUCUCAUUAAGUUGCCCUUUGAAGAGUGCUUCCAGACUGAAAGAAAAAAAAAAAAAAAAAAAAAAAGACAAGAAGAAAGCAAUGGAAUUAGCCAGCCCCCUCCGGACUUGGAUCACUCCAGAUCUGCACAGCAGCAUCUGGCAGAGUGCGGGGAGGUGUGAAGUGCUGAGCCUGGGAGAGCUCCAGGCUCACCGACAAGCAGAGAGGGGUUUUGGCCACGGCUGCCUCCGAGCGGGAUCACCCAUGGCAGAGUGAUUUCAGGGGAAGCUCCCGGAGGAGAAGCAAGGGGUGGCACAAGGAGGGCACUGACCCUAGCGAAAAACACCGUCCUGAGAGGGGGCAGCAAACCAUGAUGAGGUGAGGCAGUCAAGAGCAGACCCAGGAAGAGCUUCAGUCCCAAAUCACACUCGGCCAUUUAUGAGUUUUGGAGUGGUUUGAUUGAUUUUUCUUUUUCUGUCUUUCCCCCUGUGCGGCUUUGAAUUCAGGCAAGAGACAGGCAGAAACAAUGCUGGGGGAAAAGAAAACCUCUUCUUGCAGCACCCGAGGCCCCCUUUUCAUCUGUGUGAUGUAGGCAAGCGAUGCUCCUGCACCAGAAUCCUCUGUAGCACUGGUGAACAGUGCUACAAAUUUUAAUGGGGACAGAGGCACCGAGCCCCACCGCCACCAGCACCGGGCACAGGGCUGCCAGAAGGGCAGUUGCCACAUCCCAGCUCUUUAUCGCUUCUGCUCCCCUUUUCUUUCUCCUUCUCAACUCUUUCGGAGCCCUGACCUGCUGUCUUCUGGGAAGUGCUGGCUGGGUUGUGAGAAAGGAUCUCCCUGCUUUGGCAAAUUUAGCUUGGUUUGGUGUCAGGCGGCUGUGUCCGCAAGCUGCGGUGACUUGGUAGCCGGUGCAAGCCUGGUGGCACUCGCCACUUGCUCGGAAAGGAGCCCACCAGCCAAAAAGGUGCUUUUGUGCAGUGGAACUGUUUGCACAGAGCUGGAGUCGAGCAAUGAAAUAUUCAUAGGACACUAAAGCAGUGGGCUCACUGGCUGCCUUCUUAUGGGAAUUCAAUAAUACUGGAGACAGCCUUAAUUCAAUAUUCAGAAAGCCUCUUUCUCUCUCCAUCUCCCGGCUGUCUCUGGGUUCAAAGAUCUUUUCGGAAACCUCCUUUCUGCACGCUGGAUCCAUUAGCAGAGAGUGGCAGAGAGGAGGAAUGGGGGGAGAAGGAGGGGAAAGGCAAGGAUGGGGACUGCAUGCGGGACCUCUGGGUCUCCGAGCUGCCUCGUGGUGCUUUGCUGGAUGGCCAGGGCCAGCCCUUCCUAAAAGCAUGUCUGCGUUGGCUUUGGGGCCGGACCCAAACCUGUGCUCAGGGCUGAGCCAGGAAAGUCCUCCAGGGGCUGUUAACACAUCAGUGGGGUGCUCGGGGUGCUCUGAGCCGUGAAUUUUUGGGGUCUGGGAACAUGUCCUUGGUAGGCAGGGCUAACCACAUGCCCUGUCCUGCUGCCCACGGGGACAGAGGUGGAUCUGUGAGCUGAAAUGAGAAGACAAGCCGGGACCAACCACCUGCAGGGCAGCACAGAGCAGCAACAGGCUUGUCACCUCUAGCUCAGGACUGUGAUGCCCUGUGCGUUGCAGCGAAGGGGAGGUAUAGAAGAGCAGCAGCUUUCCAAGCACUUAGGGCUGGGUUUUUAAGUUUUUUGUUUUGUUUUGUUUUUGCUGUUUUUUUGUUUUUGUUUUUGUUUUCCUCUCAUAGGGUCCUUCCCAGAGAGCAUUUAAAAUUAAAUGAUUUACUCCACGAUGCACUGGUUAUUUGGUUUCUUCUGGCAUCUCCCUGUCACGAACGCCCUCAAGAAGAUCAAUUUCGACCUUCAGAAAACCUCGCUAUUAGCAUUUGAUCUUGUCAACCUCUUUUUAUAGUGGCUCUCAAAGCUCAGCAGCAGCAGCUCGAUGGCUAUCUGCCACGCACGCAGAUGCCAGCUGGCGGGGACAGCGCCUUGUCCCCCUGCUGGAGACUGGCACAGCACCACCCAUACAAAGGGUGCACAGAAACUGGGGGAGAAAUGGGAGGGUAGGGGGCUGAGCAUGGCUCCAAGCUGCUGCCCACCCCCAAGACAUGGUGGGAGCACUCUGGGGAAACAAGAGUUGUACAUGCUGCUUCACUUUCCACUGGAAAGAAUAUAUAAAAGGAAUAAAAUAAAACCUUUUUUGUCCCUUACUCUGGCAUCUCAGAGGUUGGACUCGAUGAUCUUGAGGUCUCUUCCAACCUAGAAAUUCUGUGAUUCUGUGAUCUCCAGGCCUGACCUUGAUCAAGCAAAUGCAUUGAAGAUGCUCCUUCCCCCUGUUGAUAUUUUAUAGAUUCUUGUUCUGGCUGUGUUUGGGUUCUACUCUAUUUUUUUAAGACUUUCUGGCAAAUCGUCAGUCCCACAGAUGACGGCUUGGAGCAGAACUCCCUGUCUGCUUGGAGCAGGUGCAGCUCUCCGUGUGGGGUCCCAGGGAGCUCUCCCCACCCCUGCUGGGUGCUCUGGGUGCUCCCAGUCCCAUGGCACUGUGAUGCCCCCUUCCCACCCCAGCAUCCCUCUCCGCUCCACAGCUAGGAGCCAGGCCAAUAGCUGGGCCAUGUCCCCACAGGACAUGGGGUCCGCCUGCU